AUGAGGCGAACCGGGGGAACUGAAACAUCUAAGUACCCCGAGGAAAAGAAAUCAACCGAGAUUCCCCCAGUAGCGGCGAGCGAACGGGGAGGAGCCCAGAGCCUGAAUCAGCAUGUGUGUUAGUGGAAGCGUCUGGAAAGGCGCGCGAUACAGGGUGACAGCCCCGUACACAAAAGCGCAUGUGCUGUGAGCUCGAUGAGUAGGGCGGGACACGUGGUAUCCUGUCUGAAUAUGGGGGGACCAUCCUCCAAGGCUAAAUACUCCUGACUGACCGAUAGUGAACCAGUACCGUGAGGGAAAGGCGAAAAGAACCCCGGCGAGGGGAGUGAAAAAGAACCUGAAACCGUGUACGUACAAGCAGUGGGAGCACCCUUUUGGGUGUGACUGCGUACCUUUUGUAUAAUGGGUCAGCGACUUAU
This 419-nucleotide ribosomal RNA is filed under the name Salmonella enterica subsp. enterica. RNAcentral's name for it is "partial 23S ribosomal RNA". It matches the Rfam family "Bacterial large subunit ribosomal RNA", at positions 174 to 631 of the family's 2925-position model. Lineage: Bacteria; Pseudomonadati; Pseudomonadota; Gammaproteobacteria; Enterobacterales; Enterobacteriaceae. The record is from RNAcentral. RNAcentral also lists the same sequence under 1 other name.